Erinaceus europaeus (western European hedgehog) is the source of this 60-nucleotide small nucleolar RNA. The record is from Ensembl. NCBI's taxonomy places the organism in Eukaryota, Metazoa, Chordata, Mammalia, Eulipotyphla, Erinaceidae.
CCUGUAUGAUGAUAGACGAAUACUGACUGAACCAUGAGGUUUGAUUAGCUCUACCUGAUC